CUACGGGAGGCAGCAGUAGGGAAUCUUCUGCAAUGGACGAAAGUCUGACGGAGCAACGCCGCGUGAGUGAAGAAGGAUUUCGGUUCGUAAAGCUCUGUUGUUAGGGAAGAAAGGUUGUGUAGUAACUAUACACAAAACAGACGGUACCUAACCAGAAAGCCACGGCUAACUACGUGCCAGCAGCCGCGGUAAU
This 193-nucleotide ribosomal RNA is filed under the name uncultured Gemella sp. RNAcentral describes it as "partial 16S ribosomal RNA". It matches the Rfam family "Bacterial small subunit ribosomal RNA", at positions 339 to 524 of the family's 1533-position model. Lineage: Bacteria; Bacillati; Bacillota; Bacilli; Caryophanales; Gemellaceae. The record is from RNAcentral.